This 106-nucleotide non-coding RNA is filed under the name pig gut metagenome. RNAcentral's name for it is "FMN riboswitch (RFN element)". It matches the Rfam family "FMN riboswitch aptamer (RFN element)". Rfam says of the family: The RFN element is a highly conserved domain that is found frequently in the 5'-untranslated regions of prokaryotic mRNAs that encode for flavin mononucleotide (FMN) biosynthesis and transport proteins. This element is a metabolite-dependent riboswitch that directly binds FMN in the absence of proteins. The record is from RNAcentral.
UAUCUUCAGGGCAGGGCGAAAUUCCCGACCGGCGGUAAAGUCCGCGAGCGCAAGCUGAACCGGUGUGAUUCCGGUACCGACAGUACAGUCUGGAUGGAAGAAGAUG